This 259-nucleotide ribosomal RNA is filed under the name uncultured bacterium. Its description in RNAcentral is "partial 16S ribosomal RNA". It matches the Rfam family "Bacterial small subunit ribosomal RNA", at positions 95 to 354 of the family's 1533-position model. The record is from RNAcentral.
CCGGCGCACGGGUGCGUAACGCGUUAUGCAACCUACCAUCAACAGGGGGAUAACACUGAGAAAUUGGUACUAAUACCCCAUAAUAUCUCAUGCGGCAUCGCAUGGGGUUGAAAACUCCGGUGGUUGAUGAUGGGCAUGCGUUGUAUUAGCUGGUUGGUGAGGUAACGGCUCACCAAGGCGACGAUACAUAGGGGGACUGAGAGGUUAACCCCCCACAUUGGUACUGAGACACGGACCAAACUCCUACGGGAGGCAGCAG